Molecule: non-coding RNA, 23 nt
Filed under: Cricetulus griseus (Chinese hamster)
Lineage: Eukaryota; Metazoa; Chordata; Mammalia; Rodentia; Cricetidae
Source: RNAcentral
UUCAGCCAGGAGACCAUAGAAGA